Molecule: long non-coding RNA, 263 nt
Filed under: Arabidopsis lyrata
Lineage: Eukaryota; Viridiplantae; Streptophyta; Magnoliopsida; Brassicales; Brassicaceae
Description: long non-coding RNA (ALYR_LNC001292)
Source: RNAcentral
CAGUGAUGGUGAUAGGUCCAGUGUAGUUAUAAAGAGAGAUCCUUGUAGAAGAGACCGCUUCAACGAUGUCGAGAGGGACCUCUGACAGACCAAUGGAGUUAAACUUCGGUCUCUUUGUUCCUGUUCCACCAAGAAGGUUCUGAAAAUUCUCAUUGUCCAUCCUUAAACGAAGUCUUUUACCUCCUCGAGCAUCUCCUCCACCUCGUCUUUUACCCCCAUAUCCUCCUCGAGCAUCUCCUCCACCUCGUCUUUUACCCCCAUAU